Molecule: ribosomal RNA, 939 nt
Filed under: uncultured bacterium
Lineage: Bacteria
Description: bacterial SSU rRNA
Rfam family: Bacterial small subunit ribosomal RNA
Source: RNAcentral
AAUCCGAGUAUCAGCGUUAUCGCAUCAUUGGGUUUAAGGGUGCGCAGGUGGGAAAAUAAGUCAGUGGUGAAAUACUGCCGCUUAACGGUAGAAUUGCCAUUGAUACUGUUUUUCUUGUAGCUAUGGUUGAGGUAGGUGGAAUGUGUUGUGUAGCGGUGAAAUGCAUAGAUAUGACACAGAACGCCGAUUGCGAAGGCAACUUACUAAGCCAUUACUGACGCUGAGGCACGAAAGCGUGGGGAUCAAACAGGAUUAGAUACCCUGGCUAGUCCACGCCGUAAACGAUGAUCACUCGCUGUUUGCGAUAUACAGCAAGCGGCUGAGCGAAAGCAUUAAGUGAUCCACCUGGGGAGUACGAUCGCAAGGUUGAAACUCAAAGGAAUUGACGGGGGCCCGCACAAGCGGAGGAACAUGUGGUUUAAGAUGGAUGAUACGCGAGGAACCUUACCUGGGCUUAAAUGUAGGCUGCAUUCGGCUGAAAGGCUGAUUCCCUUCGGGGCUGCUUAACAAGGUGCUGCAUGGUUGUCGUCAGCUCGUGCCGUGAGGUGUCGGGUUAAGUCCCAUAACGAGUGCAACCCUUAUCGUUAGUUGCCAGCGGGUAGAGCCGGGGACUCUAGCGAGACUGCCACCGUAAGGUGAGAGGAAGGUGGGGAUGACGUCAAAUCAGCACGGCCCUUAUGUCCAGGGCUACACACGUGUUACAAUGGCCGAUACAAAGGGCAGCUACUUCGCGAGAAGAUGCUAAUCUCUAAAGUCGGUCCCAGUUCGGAUUGGAGUCUGCAACCCGACUCCAUGAAGUUGGAUUCGCUAGUAAUCGCGCAUCAGCCAUGGCGCGGUGAAUACGUUCCCGGGCCUUGUGCACACCGCCCGUCAAACCAUGGGAGCUGGGGGUGCCUGAAGUCUGCCACGAGAGGAGCGGCUAGGUAAACCAUGAAUGGG